This 739-nucleotide ribosomal RNA is filed under the name uncultured bacterium. RNAcentral's name for it is "bacterial SSU rRNA". It matches the Rfam family "Bacterial small subunit ribosomal RNA", at positions 28 to 764 of the family's 1533-position model. The record is from RNAcentral.
GAUGAACGCUGGCGGCGUGCUUAACACAUGCAAGUCGAACGGGACCCCUUGAACAGAGGCUUCGGCCGAAGGGAGAGGACGUCUAGUGGCGGACGGGUGAGUAACGCGUGAGCAACCUGCCUAUCGGAGGGGGACAACAGCUGGAAACGGCUGCUAAUAUCGCAUAACAUAUCUAAUUCGCAUGUUUUGGAUAUCAAAGAUUUAUCGCCGAUAGAUGGGCUCGCGUCUGAUUAGCUAGUUGGUGGGGUAAAGGCUCACCAAGGCGACGAUCAGUAGCCGGACUGAGAGGUUGACCGGCCACAUUGGGACUGAGAUACGGCCCAGACUCCUACGGGAGGCAGCAGUGGGGAAUAUUGGGCAAUGGGCGCAAGCCUGACCCAGCAACGCCGCGUGAAGGAAGAAGGCCCUCGGGUUGUAAACUUCUUUGACAGGGGAAGAAACAAAUGACGGUACCCUGAAAACAAGCCACGGCUAACUACGUGCCAGCAGCCGCGGUAAUACGUAGGUGGCAAGCGUUAUCCGGAUUUACUGGGUGUAAAGGGCGUGCAGGCGGGCUUACAAGUCAGGUGUGAAAACUAUGGGCUCAACCCAUAGCCUGCACUUGAAACUGUAGGUCUUGAGUGAUGGAGAGGCAGGUAGAAUUCCUAGUGUAGCGGUGGAAUGCGUAGAUAUUAGGAGGAAUACCAGUGGCGAAGGCGACCUGCUGGACAUUAACUGUCGCUGAGGCGCGAAAGCGUGG